GCUGCCCAAAGACAACAACCGCUGCGUGGUGGGCGGCAGGCAACGGAGCACUUGCUCCGGCUAAUAGUUGUUG
Molecule: ribozyme, 73 nt
Filed under: unclassified sequences
Description: HDV ribozyme from F. prausnitzii
Rfam family: HDV ribozyme from F. prausnitzii
Source: RNAcentral